GGAAUUUUGAAAAUCCGGCCAAAAUGACGUCAUCAAUAACAUAAUAUUAAGAUGCAAAUAAAAAUACUGAAUAAAACAUAAAUUAUUAUACAUAUAAAUCAUAUGAGGUAAGUACAUGUAUUUCUUCUUACCAUUAGGGGAUUAUAGGGGACUCCCCUUUGAGGAUUGCAGCCUUAUUGUUGUUAUUUUCUUGUGUGGCAACCUAGCGCUGAUUUCUCUCUUUCCAUUUUCUUUAGUUUAUACAAGAAAUGCUUCAUGCAUAAAAAUAAUAGAUUUUUUGUUUUGUUUU
Molecule: non-coding RNA, 289 nt
Organism: Pelobates cultripes (western spadefoot toad)
Lineage: Eukaryota; Metazoa; Chordata; Amphibia; Anura; Pelobatidae
Source: the annotation of a GenBank genome assembly